This is a long non-coding RNA of Brassica napus (rape), 1844 nucleotides long. RefSeq lists it as uncharacterized. Lineage: Eukaryota; Viridiplantae; Streptophyta; Magnoliopsida; Brassicales; Brassicaceae. The record is from RefSeq and is a predicted model, not a curated record. The transcript has 2 exons.
CUCCACCUGUCGCCCCGGAUCAGCCUGCCCCACCGGCUGCAGUUCAUCCCGAUUUGCGGGUGCCAGCUCAUGCACCAUUCGCAAGAUACACCGUCGAGGAUUUGCUUGCCCAGCCCGGACGAGAGGGUUUACACGUUCUGGACCCCGAUAGACCCCCGGGUACUUAUUGGUUUGGGGCUAACAACCGUGUUAGCCGGAGCGUUUCAGAGACGAUGAAGGGAUAUUAUGACGGCCCUUAUCCCAACUGGACCAUGACUCCCGAUCACGUCAAGACGACGUGGUUUAAAUGUUUUGCGGUAAUUAUAUUUACAUAUUAUUAAUAUUUAUAUUGUUAAUUAAAUAAUUAUUAUUUUUUUUUCUAAUCUUUUAAAAUGUUUGUUUUUUCAGCAAAGGUGGAACUGGUCCGUAGGAAUCACCGAGAGGGUGAAGAGCGAAUUUAUUGCAAAGGCGAAAACUCGUCUUUGCAACACCGUCUCCGAUUGGAAGGACAAGUGGGAGAUUUACGGCUAUGAGGGGAAGCCGAGCGGGGUCACAAAGGAAGCAUGGGAUGGCCUCAUCACCUAUUGGAACGAACCCAGCUCCAUCCGCAAAGCCAACUCCUGCUCCGCUUCCCGAAGAACGAGGGAUAAAGAUGGCCAUUUGCCCAUGGUUCAUAGAUCCGGCCAAAAACCCCAUGCCGGAAUUCGUCUCGAAGCUGUAAGUUUUAUUUAAAUUUAUAAUUUUCAUUAUUUUAAACUUGUAUUUAUUAAUUAUAUUUAAUUUAUUUAUUAUUGUUGUUUAUUAGUUGGAGAAGACGGGAGUUUUGCCAUCUCUCUCGGACUUAUUCAAGAUGACUCACGCCUCACCAGAUGGGGUUUUUGUGGAUCCUGCAUCCGAGAAACUCUUCAACGCUGUGGCGUCUCGGGUUGAAGAGCAAGAGACGAAACUUACCCAACAGUCUGCAGAUGGAUUACCCGUCAAGUUGUCAACCGUAGAGGUCGACCGGAUCUUCGAGGAGGUAAAAUUUAAUAAUUUUAAUUUUUUUUCUUUAUUUUAUUAUUAACUCUAAAUACGGUUUUAUAUAUAUACAUAUAGGUGGCUCCUAGAAAGAAGGGUAGGACGGUUGGAAUAGGUUCCGUUAACGAAGUUGCAAGGGCGACUUCGUCAUACUAUUCGAGACGGGACCAGGACAACGAUCAGAUGCAGGCUCGCAUGGAUACCCAGCAGCAGCGUUUGGACUCUCUCGAGGGUUUGCUGGAUGUGAUGGCAGUGGGAAAUCCAACUUUGCAGAGAGCUUUGGCGGAGAGACGAGCAGCUCUCGGGAUGAGCCAGCCGGAUCCCGAAGCAGGAACGUCUACAGACCCGAACCCCUCAGCCAACUACUUCGAUGACCAUGAUGUUGGCCUUUAGUUUCCUUUUUUAAUUUCUUUUGUUUUGUAUAAAAAAUUUAAAUUCUAUUUAAUUAAUGAAUUUAUAAUUUUUUUAAAAAUAUUAUUUGGUUUCAUAUUUAAUUUUAUUUCAAAUAUUUUAAAUUUUAAAAUUAUUGUUUUAUAAAAUUUAUAUAAUUAUUAUAAUUAAUUAAUAUUUUAAAUAUGGAGAUGUAAAUUCGUUGUAAAAUUCCACGUUAAGUCCUCGUAACGUUUACGAGGAAUUUACAUGAAGUCGUUGUAAAGUCCUCGUAAAAUUUACAUCGACUUUACGUGGAAGCCUUACGUGGCUUUUACAACGAACUAUUACGAGGUAUUUACAUCGUCAUUUACGAGGGCAUUACGACGAAUAGUUUCCUUCCGCUUUACGAGGAAUUGACUUCCUCGUAAACGUAACUAGGACUUUACGACGAAACCUCCGUUACGACGAGCGUUUAA